This 74-nucleotide transfer RNA is filed under the name Caudoviricetes sp. RNAcentral's name for it is "tRNA-Gln". It matches the Rfam family "tRNA". Rfam says of the family: Transfer RNA (tRNA) molecules are approximately 80 nucleotides in length. Their secondary structure includes four short double-helical elements and three loops (D, anti-codon, and T loops). Further hydrogen bonds mediate the characteristic L-shaped molecular structure. tRNAs have two regions of fundamental functional importance: the anti-codon, which is responsible for specific mRNA codon recognition, and the 3' end, to which the tRNAs corresponding amino acid is attached (by aminoacyl-tRNA synthetases). tRNAs cope with the degeneracy of the genetic code in two manners: having more than one tRNA (with a specific anti-codon) for a particular amino acid; and 'wobble' base-pairing, i.e. permitting non-standard base-pairing at the 3rd anti-codon position. The record is from RNAcentral. Lineage: Duplodnaviria; Heunggongvirae; Uroviricota; Caudoviricetes.
UGGGCUGUGGCCAAACGGUAAGGCAUGGGACUUUGACUUCCAGAUAGCAGGUUCGACACCUGCCAGCCCAUCCA